This 262-nucleotide unclassified non-coding RNA is filed under the name Hevea brasiliensis (rubber tree). The record is from RNAcentral. Lineage: Eukaryota; Viridiplantae; Streptophyta; Magnoliopsida; Malpighiales; Euphorbiaceae.
GCUUCGUAUGUUGUUGGUAGAGACAAAGAUGUUGCUGAAGUGAAGGAGAAGAUUUUGAACAUGAGAAAGGAUGUUGUUCUGUGCACCAUUCCCAUUGUGGGUAUGGGGGGUUUAGGGAAAACUACUCUGGUAAAGAGAAUUUUCAAUGACGUAGAGAUUGAAAAACACUUCGUAAAGAGAGUUUGGUUGUGUCUACCUGAAAUGUCAGACGCUAAGAGCUUUCUUGAACUGAUCCUCCAUUCAUUGACAGGGCAGAAACUUG